Molecule: long non-coding RNA, 1031 nt
Filed under: Anser brachyrhynchus (Pink-footed goose)
Lineage: Eukaryota; Metazoa; Chordata; Aves; Anseriformes; Anatidae
Description: lncRNA (ENSABRG00000008636.1)
Source: RNAcentral
UUCAGACUCCAGCAAUUUGAUUCAGCUAUUCUAGUAUGAAAAACCUCACACAACAUAGCCCAUACCAAUGAAGUGCUGUCUUACCAGUCUGGUACAAAACUCUGCAACUCCUCCUUUUCAGAGUUCCCAGCAACCUCUGAUGUCCAUUUAAAGCAGCAUUCCAUUUUUUUUCACAUCGAUUUAAUUGACUGUGCCCCAGAGAUCUAAAGACACAAACCACUGUAUCAUGUUUACAUGGCAAGUUGUUCGCAGUUGAGUGUCUGCAGUUUGGCUCCGAGGAGAGACUAGGGCUGCCCCAUGCUGGACACAGCCAGUUCCAGCAGCUUCCAUGCCACCCCAGAAGACCCACUGCACGGCACAGGAGGAGUGGGAGAGCAAGUGGAUGGGGGUCUGGUAGCCAGUCAAGAACUACACCUAUCAGAUCAAAGAGAAAAAUAAUCCCUGCUCCAGAUAUUUCUGUGUUCUUGGGAAAUAACAAGGAUGUGGAGAACAGAUGACAGUAGUCUGAAGCCGACCACUGAACAUUUACCAGAUUAGUUUUGAUAUUCUUGGCAAACUCUAUCAUCUUGAAGGAAUAAGAGGGAGGAAAAUCCCCAAAGCAGUGUUGCUGGUAUUUCUUCAUUCUUCACUUCCAGAGGAAGAGAUUUGUAGAUUAAAAUUCAUAUUGCUUUAAUAUGUGCCUGUUGCUUACUUUUUAUUUCAUUUUAUAGCCAUUUCUACUUUUAUAUUCAUUUCUAUAAAGCAAUCAAGAACUACAAUAUAAAGAAGGGUUGUCUAUGUAGUACUACAACAACCCUUUUUCGUUACAAAAAUGCUGUAAAAGGAAAAGAAAGUAACAGCUGCUGAAAUUCUGCAAAUAAUCUUGUGUGACUCUAAUCACAAAAUGAUGCAUUAAAUAGCUUUCAUAGUUCUCAUGUGGAAAACAGAUUAAUAUGUACCAUUGUAGCAGUCAGUGGUCAAGACCGUUGCUGUCCAUGUAAACUUGCUGCUCAGAAAAAAUAAAUUAUUUCAAUUUUGGUAAUAAAGAAUCA